GAUUAACGCUGGCGGCAUGCCUAAUACAUGCAAGUCGAACGGAAGCAGCAAUGCUUUAGUGGCGAACGGGUGAGUAACACGUAGGGAACCUACCUAUACGACGAGGAUAACUACUGGAAACGGUAGCUAAAACUGGAUAGGAUCAAUUGAGGCAUCUUGAUUGAUUUAAAGAUCCUUCGGGAUUACGUAGAGAUGGCCCUGCGGCGCAUUAGCUAGUUGGUGAGGUAACGGCCCACCAAGGCGACGAUGCGUAGCUGAGCUGAGAGGCUAAACAGCCACACUGGGACUGAGACACGGCCCAGACUCCUACGGGAGGCAGCAGUAGGGAAUUUUUCGGCAAUGGGGGAAACCCUGACCGAGCAAUGCCGCGUGAACGAUGAAGGUCUUCGGAUUGUAAAGUUCUGUGAUUGGGGAAGAAUGGUAUUCUUAGGGAAUGAGGAGUACAUGACGGUACCCGAUUAGAAAGCCCCGGCUAACUAUGUGCCAGCAGCCGCGGUAAAU
Molecule: ribosomal RNA, 501 nt
Filed under: uncultured bacterium
Lineage: Bacteria
Description: bacterial SSU rRNA
Rfam family: Bacterial small subunit ribosomal RNA
Source: RNAcentral